RNAcentral lists this long non-coding RNA (205 nucleotides) under Panax ginseng (ginseng). RNAcentral describes it as "long non-coding RNA (PGIN_LNC004464)". Lineage: Eukaryota; Viridiplantae; Streptophyta; Magnoliopsida; Apiales; Araliaceae. The record is from RNAcentral.
UUUAAAUUAAAUUGUUAUGUUCUUUUAUUUCAAAAUUCGGAUCAAGUAUUUAUUUUCGAACUGUGAAUGAUAUUAUAUGAUUUUGAACUGUGAAAAAGUAUCAUUUAUAUUAUCGAUAAUAUUGAGAAAAGUUUUUGAAAUCCUCAGUCUGACUAUGUAUAGAACCCGUUAUUGAUUACGUUUAGUUACGGAGCUAAUAUAGGAC